ACCUAGCCAUGCAUAGUUAAUAACUUCUUAAAGAUUUCUUUAUGAUUCUUUAGUCCAAAUAUGUUUUUGCCCAUUUGUAUUGGAAGAAGUGACUUUAAUGGUUUUAGUUUUAGGUAUGAAGAGAGGUAGUUGCAUCAUUCAGGAAGACUGGGAUGAAACAGUUUUCGAGGAGUAUGUUGAAUGGUCUUUUUCCCUUGACAUUUCUUUUUAGGUGCGACACAUUCAUUUGUAUUAUUCAUUUUUUUUUCUUUUUAGAUUGAGUGGAAUCCUAAAACAUCAUUAAUUAAACAAGUUAGGUAAUAGAUAAAAUAUGUUCAUAAAUAUGAAUGAAUAUAGUUGUAUAAACAUACCUUAUCAACAACAUGUAUGAGAUUAAUUGGCCAUGUCACAAAUGUACAUAUUGUCUUUCUCUUCUCUCCCAAAAUGUCUCUUCUCUCCUAUAUCUCUCUCAAUUUCAUUUUUAGUAUUAGGGUAAUAAUAUGCAGACCCCUUUUACUCUUCUCUUUUUUUAUAUUUUCUAUUUUAUCUCUAUCU
This 534-nucleotide long non-coding RNA is filed under the name Vigna radiata. Its description in RNAcentral is "long non-coding RNA (VRAD_LNC008600)". The record is from RNAcentral. Lineage: Eukaryota; Viridiplantae; Streptophyta; Magnoliopsida; Fabales; Fabaceae.